AUACGGAGGAUCCGAGCGUUAUCCGGAUUUAUUGGGUUUAAAGGGAGCGUAGGCGGGAGAUCAAGUCAGCUGUGAAAUGUAGAUGCUCAACAUCUGCACUGCAGUUGAAACUGGUUUUCUUGAGUGCGUAAGGGGCAGGCGGAAUUCGUCGUGUAGCGGUGAAAUGCUUAGAUAUGACGAAGAACUCCGAUCGCGAAGGUAGCCUGCCGGGCCGCGACUGACGCUGAAGCUCGAAGGUGCGGGUAUCGAACAGGAUUAGAUACCCUGGUAGUCCGCACAGUAAACGAUGGAUACUCGCUGUCGGCGAUAUACGGUCGGUGGCCAAGCGAAAGCGUUAAGUAUCCCACCUGGGGAGUACGCCGGCAACGGUGAAACUCAAAGGAAUUGACGGGG
Molecule: ribosomal RNA, 393 nt
Filed under: uncultured bacterium
Lineage: Bacteria
Description: partial 16S ribosomal RNA
Rfam family: Bacterial small subunit ribosomal RNA
Source: RNAcentral